UUAAAUUGAAGAGUUUGAUCAUGGCUCAGAUUGAACGCUGGCGGCAGGCCUAACACAUGCAAGUCGAGCGGCAGCGGGAAAGUAGCUUGCUACUUUUGCCGGCGAGCGGCG
Molecule: ribosomal RNA, 111 nt
Filed under: Aeromonas caviae
Lineage: Bacteria; Pseudomonadati; Pseudomonadota; Gammaproteobacteria; Aeromonadales; Aeromonadaceae
Description: partial 16S ribosomal RNA
Rfam family: Bacterial small subunit ribosomal RNA
Source: RNAcentral